UUACAACAACUGGCCCUGUGAGCAGGACAUCAAGGGUAUAUAUAGAGAGGCCAGGAGCCUUGGAGUAGAGCACACUGUUGCUACUGACAUGGCAGAGGAAACUACAAUCCCACAGGAGCCUAACUGCGAUGCAGGGACAAACACCGAGAGGUCAGAGCGACAAACACCAGGAGGCCAACGCAGAAGGGAGAGGACGAAUUCUCCACUCCAGGGCUAUAAGAUGGAGAAGAUUCGGAAGGUGGUCGAGUUAACAAAAUCAGUCCGUCGUCAGAAUUCCGGAAGAGGUCCUACACAGAAGAAGUCACAGAUAUUUGUGUUCUACUACCGGCGGAGUACAACAAUGACUAAAGAGCCAGAGGAGGAUGAAAACGUCCCAGAGGGCUCUUCCAGCAGUUCAUAAAGUGCUGCCCUGGGUCUAUCAGGUGACUGAGACCUUGCUGUCUCUGUUGUCUCUCCAGAGAAAGCACUGGAGAAAUGGUCACCUGUGUAGAGACCAAAUAAAAAAGCCCUCAGCUAUUGAUGUACAAGCUGUUGUAGAAAGAUGUGUGUGUAUCUCUGUCUGUUCUUCGGUGAUGGGGACUGAAGGAAGGCAGGAAGGGGCAGGCGUGUGAGAAGGGAGGGAGGUAGUAUCCUGCCAGUUUGGGGCCCAGACCAGCCAGUCCAUAGUUAGCCAGACACCGGGAAUAAGGACUGGGUGAGGACUGAGCUCUGAAGACAGAUUUCUUCCUGAACACUUUAUCCUGCUGGUGAGGAGGAAAAGGACUUGGUGUUUCCGU
Long non-coding RNA from Mesoplodon densirostris (Blainville's beaked whale), 776 nucleotides. RefSeq lists it as uncharacterized. The record is from RefSeq and is a predicted model, not a curated record. NCBI's taxonomy places the organism in Eukaryota, Metazoa, Chordata, Mammalia, Artiodactyla, Ziphiidae. The transcript is spliced from 3 exons.